GGCUCCAAUUAGCAGACAAAUCAGAAGUGGCUUGUGGGGCUUUGUGCCUGCUGCAGUCAUGUUUAUCGUCAUCAGAGGAGAGAAUCGAUGUGCCAGGCUGACCUCCAGCUGGUGGAAGUAACUACAGAGCUGCAAAGAGCAGUGGAGAGUCUGCUUUUGAGUCUGGACUUGACCAUGACUCUCCGUGUGAACUUGGGCUUUUCCUUGUCUGUCUCUGGAACCUGAGUUUUUGCAUCAGGAUAUGGAGUCUCUUUCUGGAGCUGUGUGAAGGAGGCAGCUGUCUUAUUGCAGAGCUCACGCUCAACCACAGAACUGAGCUGGGUCUUCCAGGUGCUACUGGUGGAGCUGGAGUAACCCCAUUCACAGUGGUCAGGAGACCCCAUGGACAAGCUCACCCAAAUCCAGGUGCUAAGAUGCCCAGGAUGUCUUCAGUGUCUGGGUUCAUCCUUCCCGCCUGGCACUUCCUCUCAGGACAACCUUCUGUGAUGCAGCCCACUGGGAGAGCUACCAUGACUCACCGCCACCGCCACUCAGAGUCCCUCAACAGUUACCCAUGGGUUGACUGCAGAUUUAUGGUCACCAAUGGAAUCCGGUUGACACCUGUCAGUAUCAGCAGGUAGCCCCAGCCUCUGUCUGUACAGGUGGGAAACCUGAGGACCAGGGAGGAGGAGUGACCGAACUGAGGGACAAUGGUGGGCUUUGGCUCCACAACCAGGUGUCCUGUUGCCCAGUCUAGUGUUUGUUGCAUUCUAUCAAACAAUCUUAGUCAUCGGUUCUGCAAAGUAACAGAAUGCAUCUCACCAAUGUCAGCUUUUACCUCACCUAUCAUGGGAGAGUCUUGGGGGCUGAUGUAAGUGAAAAGGGUGUUGGCAGUGAGGAAUUUCCUCAGGAUGAAGAAAAACUAAUGAGAGCAGAAGUGGAAUACUUUUUGCUGUUGUCUAUUGCAUUCAUUUUAGCUUUUAUUUUCAUGAAAUCCCACCCCCUGCAUUGUUUUCAUUUAUUUUUUGGCUCUUUACCUAAUUUCUUAGGAUGAGUGCUUUGUGCAAUUAUUUUAGGCUUUUCACACACAAAAAAAAUAAUAAAAGCAUUGAAAGCUA
Molecule: long non-coding RNA, 1097 nt
Filed under: Sus scrofa (pig)
Lineage: Eukaryota; Metazoa; Chordata; Mammalia; Artiodactyla; Suidae
Description: lncRNA (ENSSSCG00015038298.1)
Source: RNAcentral